UACGGAAGGCAGCAGUGGGGAAUAUUGCACAAUGGGCGAAAGCCUGAUGCAGCUAUGCCGCGUGUAUGAAGAAGGCCUUAGGGUUGUAAAGUACUUUCAUCGGGGAGGAAAAAACAAAAACUAAUAAUUUUAUUUCUUGACGUUACCCGAAAAAGAAGCACCGGCUAACUCCGUGCCAGCAGCCGCGGUAAUACGGAGGGUGCUAGCGUUAAUCAGAAUUACUGGGCGUAAAAGAGCACGUAGGUGGUUUUUUUAAAGUCAGAUGUGAAAAUCCCCUGGGGCUUAACCUAGGAACUGCAUUUUUGAAAACUGAAAUACUAGAGUAUCGUAGAGGGAGGUAGAAUUCUAGGUGUAGCGGUGAAAAUACGUAGAUAUCUGGAGGAAUACCUGUGGCGAAAGCGGCCUCCUAAACGAAUACUGACACUGAGGGUGCGAAAGCGUGGGGAGCAAACAGGGAUUAGAUACC
RNAcentral lists this ribosomal RNA (466 nucleotides) under uncultured bacterium. RNAcentral describes it as "bacterial SSU rRNA". It matches the Rfam family "Bacterial small subunit ribosomal RNA", at positions 340 to 786 of the family's 1533-position model. The record is from RNAcentral.